Molecule: long non-coding RNA, 1158 nt
Organism: Anguilla anguilla (European eel)
Lineage: Eukaryota; Metazoa; Chordata; Actinopteri; Anguilliformes; Anguillidae
Exons: 3
Source: RefSeq, a predicted model, not a curated record
GCAGAAUACAGGGAGGGCCAUUGUCGUAAAAAAAUAUAUAUAAAUCAGUCGUAAAAUGGCGGUUAAUGUAGUUACUCCUGCACUUCUACAAGACACUACACACCACAGUGCCCAUUCUAUAAUGUCAUGUAACACUAUGGUCUUGUGACCCUAAUGGCAAAGAGUCAUGCUGACUCAUUAAUUGCAUUAGAUUUACAUUUCCGGGCUUGUCGAACGUUCAUCCUGGGCGAUUUAGGUUUAGGCAAAAAAGAGCUUGUGCCACCAAGUCAUUAGGGUCACAUCCGACCGUAGUGUUAGUGUUACAUGAUUUAGCCUACUUCGAAGUAGUUUAAACCUACUACAUAAAAUUACCGGUCCCAUUUGAUUACAUUACAUUAAUUUAGUAGACGGUCUUAUCCACUGUAACUGCGACGCUUAGGAGGACACACGCACACACUUUUUAUUUUCUUUGGACAAGCCACUGAACAGUUAAUUGAGACAAGUCUAUUUUUCAUACAGUCUGAGACAAACUCACCCUGGCCUGGGGAACAAGAUGCAGGGAACGGAAGUACGAGCGGAAGAACUGGAUUUAAUGGCGGCAGUUUGAAAACUUAUGUUUUUAAAUUUUAUUUUGUGUUACUGUGUACAAUAUUUUUUUGGGCUUGAGGCCCAGUUCAAUUUCUGAUUAUUGUAUACAGUAAUGAAGGGGGAAGUGUGUGGAUGGAUCUUCUGGGAAAGAGAAAACCGCUGUGCAAUCUGAAAAAUGCAGUGGAGUGACGGGUUUGCACAUCCUGGUCUCCGUUUGUUUGUUUGUUUUAGUUAUUUCUCCCUUUUGUUUUGACGUGUUUAUUUUACAUUUUUUGCGUACUUGCUUUUAAAACAACUGAACGAACUCCUCCGAAUUACAAUGGAGAGAACAAGGAAAGUGCCUGGCCCUUGGAGAAAGUCCAAAGGCUGGGCUUGAAUGGGCCUCUGGACAGCUUCUUACACCGGCGCAUAUAUUUGCUGCAGAGAGAGCCAGGGAGCUUCCCCUUCGCCAGGCCCAGCCCAGAGCCCUCCACUGUCCGCACGCGAAUGUUCUGAAGCACACGAACAAUAGUUCUAGACACGGACGGUUGUCCCGCGAGGGAGGAGUCCAACCCCCUGCUUACCCGGAGGUGCAUGGGGCUGACCUGCAGC